RNAcentral lists this small RNA (83 nucleotides) under Flavobacterium sp. 103. RNAcentral's name for it is "Flavo-1 RNA". It matches the Rfam family "Flavo-1 RNA". Lineage: Bacteria; Pseudomonadati; Bacteroidota; Flavobacteriia; Flavobacteriales; Flavobacteriaceae. The record is from RNAcentral.
CGUUUGCGUGAGGGAUAGCAGCGGAAAUCCUUUCCCUUUUUUCUUUAAAAAGGAAAAGAUUGCAGCGAAUAGCCCGACGGCUU